UAAGUCGCCCUUUCUGUGUAGUCGCUGUUUGCGGGGAGCGACUGGUGUUCUGUUUGAGCAAUUGACAGUAAUUAGUAAAGUACUUUGUACUGAGAGUAGCACAAUCUAUCGCCCCCGUGUUCGGAUGAUAUUUUGGAAGAUCCUUAUCGCUGUCAUCUGUUUUGAAUUUUUGAGCUUGAAGACCAUGUUUUGUUGCUUUUCUGUUGACAAUGUCCACUGGUGAAUGUGUCUAUGUGCGCUCCAGUUUGCAGUAUCAUUGUGUUAACUUUGUACCCAUCUGUUGCUUAGCAACAUAUAAUUCUGUAGGGCAUUUAAACUUGUUAAAUGCAACUUGAUUCUGAGAAAUGCUAAUGAACUGUGAUGAACUAGACCGCCCUCUCAAACUUCAUAAUGAACUGUGAUGAACUAGACCGCCCUCUCAAACUUCACUUCAAAUUUGUGGAUUUAAGUUUCUAUGUGCCGAUUCCUUUCAUUAAACUUGUGCUGUUCUCUUUGCUAUUUCUCCUAACCAUUUCCAUACAUGAAGCUUGUCUCGUAUGUUUUACAAACAAUUUAAACUUUUGAAUGACAUGUAAAUCAUUGGGCUGACAUUUUAAAUACAUAAAAUUGAAUAACAUUCAAAUACAAACCACCUGCCAGUUCAAAGAAAAUCAUCAGCUAGCGUCAAAAGUCACCACGUGCGUUCAUCAAAAGCCACCCGAUCCCACAUAGCACCUCACCGCCACUACAACCAGGGUACACAGAGGGUGGCAACCGGCGAUCCAACAUCUUGUCCAUGAGUGAUCUUCAAUACUCCCUCCAUUCCAAAAUAUAGUGCGCCCACGCUUCCCGAGGUCCAACUUUGACCAUAAAUUUAACCAACGAGACCAACUGCGGCGGGAGAAAAAACGAUAUAAUUGAAAACUUCUUUUGAAUACGAAUUCACUGAUAUAAUUUUUACUCCCGCCGCAAUCGGUCCUGGUAGUUAAAUUUGCGGUCAAAAUUGAAGCACGAGGAUAGAGGAAGUACUAUAUUGUGGAAUGGAGGGAGUAUAUCCUUUGCUCUUGCUCUUUCCAUUUCCACUUCGGCCUUGAUAGGGCCAACCCUCAGGAUCCUAGCAGAGGGAAGCGACCUGACUUUUGUGUCUGCUCGACUGAUGAGUCUAGCAUAGCAGUCAAGCCCCUUUCCACCUUUGCACUCGAGGACCAAUGUGUGUCAGGCAUGAGGAAACGUUUGAAUGCCUCUGUUCCCUUUUGGGAGGCCUACUUAAUUUGAAAGCCAUAUUUCCACGAAAAAGUUAAAUGAAGAGAGUCGACUAUUCAGAGGCAAGCCUAUGCUCCUCUGCACAUGCGUUCCUCUCAACCUUCAUCAAGCCGCGCGUGUCUUCCAUGUUCACUGCACCCUCAAUCUUUUUGAGUUCCAUCCACCUCAACGUCUUCUCAUGAUUUGUGCUCAGCUGAUAAUUUCUCCUUUGUCCCGAUUAUUGCAUUGAGUUCUUUAUUACUCCCUCCAUAACGUAAUAUAAAACGUUUUUUACACCGGCAUGGACUCUAAAAAUGUCUUAUAAAAUGUUAUAGAGGGAGUAUAUGCACACGCUCCACCAUUUUUCUUGCUCUCUCUCAUCCGUGCGAGAUCUAGGAGUGAGGCUUCUCCUCAAAAAAAAACACAUCACCUUCAUCUUCAAUAUCUAUGGAGUCGGAGAUGCUCAAUCUUGACCUCCUUGAUGUUGUUUCAGUUUUCUCGCCCACUUCUCAUUUUGCCUUGAGCUUUAUGAAACAAUGGGCAGAGUGAAUGCCUUGUUCCUAUUUCUUUUGUUCAUAUGCUUGUAUAGCUUUUGGGUGUAGAUGUCAUACUCAUUAAGUGGCACUUGUUUGACUCAACCUAACCACCGUUUGCAACAAUCUUGGAUGACAUUCACUUCCAAAAGGGAGAAUAUUGUGGGCGAGAGAGUAUUUUGUCCGGUUCGAGUGAGUGGGACAUGGCGUACAUAGUAUUCCUCAACUCUCUUCCAAAAGGUUUCCUUAGUUUGAUCAGCACCGACCGUGGUGUCAAGAGCUAUGUUCAACCAAGAAUAUAAGAAAGCUUCAUCUUCAUUGACACCAGUUCACUGAUCAUGUUAGCCUCUUGUUGCUGAUAUGGACCGAUCUCCUCCACUCACUUGCACUUGACACUUCGCGGCAUUCAUCCUCCAUCGAGCCUUAUAAUGUGUUUUGAAUCAUCCAACGUUGACAUGAAGGCCCACAAGCCAUUGGGUUCGGUUCCCCACUACAAUAGAGACGUGCGAAAUCUCAUCACCUAUAAUUGAACAUCGAAGCUGGGGGGUGGGGGGAGGGAGAGUGAACAUUGAGCGGCGGCAACUGGAGGCGGUUGAGUGGGAAAUGUCUAGGCGCCAAAAUUUUGCUCUUUGGGCAGCAGAAUAGUGGAAGGGCUAAGUGAUGUCAACACCCUAAAAAAUAUACCACUCACUCCAAUCCAUAUUAAUGUCGCCGAUUUAGUACACGCAUGCCCUAAAUUAGCAACUUAAUAUGGAUUGAAGCGAGUAGUAUUUUUUUAGCAGAAAAUGCUCAAUUUGAGAGUGAACUCAAAAUUUAGGGAGUUAAAAUCCUUUUUUAGAGAGUGAGUUAAAAAACUUAGGAGGAUGGCCGGGUGGUUUUCACUCUAAAAAAGCAGCUUCCUGGCAAUGAAAACUAUUUAAUGAAAAAACUAGCACAUCCUCUGCACGACCGACCCCUAGCGUCCCCGUUGAAUUAAUCGUGAAAAUGCAACCGGCACAAACUGCAACCAUCUGUGUAAACACGCCAAUACGCCACAUUCAUCCGAUGAAUGCUUUCAAGUUCAUGUUCAUGAAUUACACCUGCAGCUCACCGACUCUUCACAGGAUCUCGCCGCAGUGCCUAUUGUCUGUAUGUACUAGUACUGUAUCAGCUUUUGCCUCCCUAACAAUACCCUCAUGCACAGCACAAACACUGCUCUCCUCGCCACCAUGCCGCCAAUAAGGCCGAGUCACUAUCUCAGACUGACCCAAUCGCCCCCACAACUCAACUCAGUAGGAAAACUAUCCUACACCAGCAUAACACGUUAACGACACCCGCUCUUCAAAUGGAGCGUACCGAUUUCGGUCACAAAAUCGGGCCUGCGACCCGCCUCCCAUCAGUCGAGCUUUGCCCGCCUGCAUGCGUUCGGCGACGUUUCUGCUUCUCACGCGAUCGACUGGUAGCGGGCCCUAGGAAUCCGUGAAUCGCCAUCUCGUAUGGAUAUACUAAGAGCAUCAGCGCCGGGGCCUCCAGCACCUUUGCUUGGUUGUAGAGGCGCCAUCAUUCUUCGGGGAUUUGCAUUUGCAUUUGGUUUCUUGGGCGUGCCGAGUUUCACAAAGAACGUGGCGCUACAUCCCUUCCCUACACCUUCACUGUCGAGCCAGAUGUUCCCUUGCAUCAGGCCAACAAAUCUGAUGGAACCAGAGAGUGUAGAGACAUCGGUCAGCACAGAGAUCAGAGAGUUUCAGGGGGGAAAAAGGAAUGUGCAGAAAUGCCCUCUUGAUAUACCUUCUGGAGAGGGCCAGACCCAACCCGUUGCCGUUGUGCAAUUUCGUUGUUGCAUUCUCACCGUGUGCGAAUUUUCUGAAGGUGUGAGCCAUAUCCUCUGGUCCGAUUCCACAGCCGGUGUCUUUUACCUACAGGAGAAUAUGACAUCAGAACUUCUGCUAACAUUAAGUUAUUAGCCCUACCACUUGUCCCCUGUUUUUGCUCCUUAAUUAGUUUGUACGUCUUCUAUGGGCAGCCACAAGCGAUCUAAAAUAAUCUUUAUGGUAUGUUUACCAAUUACUGUAGAAAAUGCAAAUCAUUCUUUUUCUCUUCAGGUUAUCUAUCACUUUGAAGACCUCAAUCGAGGUCUCUUUGGAAUGCUAAUGUCUACAUUUACGAGUACCACUGCAUUAACUUGGCGAGCAUUGGCAAGCAUCAUUAGAAAGUUAUGGUGUUAUGUAUUAUGCGUUUGUGGCAACUUUCGGCAUAUUGAGGAGUUAAGAGAAAAGGAGUGUAUGUUCAUAGGCAAACCUGAACAACCAAGUAGAAAGACCCAUCAGAGGGAACUGGAUGUAAGUUAGAAGCAUAUGGGUCCCUCAAUGAAUCUGGCCUGGCUAUGGAAGCUGCAAUUGAAAUGUGACCCUCCUUUGUGAACUUAAUGGAGUUGCCAGCAACAUUUAGCAUUAUCUGCAUCAAUCGCUUGCGAUCACCAAUUGCACAGGAAGGCAACUCUGGAGCCAAGGAAACCAUUACCGAGAGCCUUUUGCAUGCAGCCACUGGCUUAAUCAAAUUAACCACCUACAAGAUGAACUAGUGAGUUGACCUCAAAUCCAACUGUAUAUUUUCCCCUCCUUUUAGGCAACAUAGUAGCAAAGUCGAAAUAUUAAAACUGCUGUCAGGGCACUUACAUCCGUAAAGGCAGCAUGCAGGUUGAAAGGUGCAAUGUCCAGCUCAAGACUCCCAUUCCCAAGCUUGGAAAUAUCUAAAACAUCGUUGGUCAAAGUGACUAGAAAAUCGCUACUCUUUAGUAUAGUCUCAAUCAUCAGGCGUUGUUCAGCCGUAAGAGUUGUUUCCAGAAGGAGGGAGGAUAAAGAAACAAUGGCUUUCAUAGGAGUACGCAUUUCAUGGUUCAUCACAGCAAGAAAAUCAUUACGAGCACAUAUAGCCAUUUCUGCCUCUCGACGUGCUGCAUCAAGGGCAAUAUUCUGCUCCAUUAGUAGAUCACGGGCCCUCAUGGACUCUUCCAAAAUGGCAGCAUGAGACAGUGCAACUGCCACCUAAAAUAAGAAAAAUGAGCGAACGUGGUCAUGUUUUUUUUACAAUAUCUGCAGGCAUGAAGUGUAGUGCAGUCUACUUCAUAAAGAAAUAAUUAAAUGCAAAAUUAUCCAUCUAAGAGCAGCAUUAUAGGCUAAAUGCUAACAGAAAAUGCUAAACAUUAAGCAUUGAUAAUAAGACUUUAUAAUAGUUGUAGCCCAAGUAAACUGACAAAACGCUGAGAACAACUCAACGACAUACCACACAAAGUCACAAACACAAUGGAAUCAGAAGAAAAAAGCAUUAGUGCCAGGAAGAAACUAAUAACUAAACUUGGAGGAGGGCAUAUAGGAAGUGUAGCAUGAUACACAAUCAGGAACAACACUUAGCUGGUUAACCUGAAACAUUUCUUUAACAAGGAAACAAAAGUAUCAAUGAUGACGGCAUGCAUACUUCCAAUAAUUAAAUCAAGGAUGCAUACAAGUGCUGAAUGACUUUCACAGAGCUUGUCAGGAUAUAAACCAAUUACUCGCAAGCAAUAUCAUAUUAGGGAAAAGGAAGAUAGAUAGGGCAGAAGGGAAACUAAAAAAAAUAUGAUUUUCAAGAAAAAAUAGUUUCACACUUCAAACCAUAAUAAAAUGAUUUACUAGGUUAACUCAAUUCUCUUCAAAACUCUUAUUCACACACAAAGCAUACACAUUUAUGAUUUAUCCAUUGACUUGACUAAUAAGAAAACUCGCACAGAGCAGGCCAAAGAAAUAUACAAAUGCAGCCCUAUAGUAGGAUUCUAAAGCUGAUAAUAUCAGAGGCCAGACAUAGGUUACCAGACAACCACACCAGUGAUUACAGAUUACAUAUAUAAAAAAAUGAACAGAAAUAAAAUCAACAACUACCUGAUCAGCAACAACUUCAACAAGCUCUAGUUCAUGGGUACGCCAUUUUCUUGCACUGUCUGGAGGCAGCAUCAAAACCAUUACUGCGAAGCUUUUUGCAGAUAGCUCAGGCCAAUCAUUUAUUUCGAAAUUUGUAAGGUGCAGCAGUGGAACUCGGACAGCUACGACCUCUGGUGGCGCGUACCUGCUUGUGUCUGCCUUUAUUGAAGCCAAUGGGGAAGUAUGUGGAAUGCUUUCUGCACGAUUACUAUUAAAAACCUUUGAAACAACCGGAAGAUUUAUAGGAACAACUAAGCCAAUAGGAGCGCUGUUAUGGAUUGUAUGGGACAGGUGAAGGGCUGUUCCAGAGCGGGAUGGCAUCCACAGGGCACAUUCAGCUAACCCAAGAGUCCUUCCCAACUCAACAAGCGUAGUUCUCAAAAUAGUGUGCCUGUCAAGCGUGCUCCUUAUCUCAUGUGUGAGCAUGUGGACAUGUCUGCCUGUCUCCUCCUGUGUUCUUAUAAUCCCCAUCUCUUUGUCAAGCUCUUCAGCCUUAUCCUUCAGAUACCUCUCUCGCAACUUCACGCUCAACAAAUCAGGAAUUAUGUGCACAAGCAUCAAUGCCGUUAUGCAUGAAACCACUGCUGUCGCAGCUUUCGCCAUUGUCAUUACCACCGCUAUAGUCUUGCUAUAAGUGGCGAAAGUCCACAAGUUUAUCAGGUGAGUUGCCCCACAAAGCACAAUGAAGGCGCCAAACUGUAUGAGCACCCAUCGGUAAGGGAAGAAUGAUGACUUCUUGACAAAGUAUAUGAGCUCCAAAGGGAUCGAGAAGUAUGCAAGUGCGAUGAAAAAGUCAGAUAUGUACUGAUACUUCACAAGGAGAUCAUCGGCCUGCCAAAGUGGUUCGAUGCAAUCACAUGCAUCCAUCUGCUAACAGCAAAAGGUGUUACCGGAGAGCUGCACUCCUACUUGACCUGUGAAAACAUAACAUCAAACUUUUACUUGACUUGAUUUGUAAAACAAUUCCACAAAAAACCAUGAAAGAGAGCAACUUCCAUAGGGCAGCUAUAAUAAUAUGUUAAUAGCAUGGAGUGGUAGUGGUGGUCCAAACCAUAUAUCCAUCAGCCAAAUUUGCAUAUGACAGGCUCUAGUUGGGUUAAGCUAUGAAAAAUACAGUCAAGAUCAAGAGGACAUGCAGAAGACAGAACGCAUCUGUAAGAUUAGCAAUCACAUUUACAUAAAAACGCAGUGCUACGCGCUACGCCAAUAAACAACUAAUGCCAUCAAACGAAUAACACUAACUUACACCUCCCAACAAAGACACCAGUGAAAAAGAUUACCAGUCCCUAUAAAACUAAAAGCCACAAGCUCCAAAGGCGCCGUGAAACUAAACACCGCACUUCGACCCUGAAUCCAACUCUGAACCAUCAUACAUGGAAUGGAACGCCUAAAUAAAGGUUAAAUUACUUGUGUGAACCUAAACUGAGGUCUGUGAAGCUGAGAAAUUAUAUUGACAGUCCAUGGCACACAACCCUACCUUGACCAAACCCAAAAUUGAAAUCGAUUCAGUAUUACAAUUUACAGCAUGUUAUCAUCAAACUGCUUGAGAUUUUUAUUUGCAAUUCACGAAAUAGCUUGACUGCUUGAGGCUGAGAAAUUACUUCAGCAAGAUACCUCAGCUUAAGCUUCUCUCUUUUCUCUGUCUGCUCUCCUCUGCCGCCGCACGCCUUGUCUUGACCAGACCAAGACGACGCGGCAAGCUCGAGCACGGCAGGUAAGAGGAAGAAUCCCACCGCAACAGCAGCAGGAAAUGCAAGAAACCGGAGGCAGCUCUUGUAGCCACUCUCCCAGCCGCACAAGGAACUCCAGGGACACCGCGCCGAUCUCAGCACGGCAGCGCGCCGGAACCAAGAACCGCACCAACAACCGCCGGUGGAAAACGACGAGGUCUCCUCGCUCUAAAUCGAAGCAGCAGCUGCUCGCGUGUUGACCUGAGACACGGGAGGAGAGACGGGCGGCGACUCGAUCUGCUGCCCGGCGCUCCCGUGCCGGAGCUGCCCACGAUUGUCGGGAUGGAUGGAUUCUUGGGAAUGAGGAGAGAGAGAGGGGGGCUGGGCUGGAGGGGAUGUCCCGGAGCUGCAAGUGACUAGAGAAAAAGCGCCCUUUUGGUUUCUGUUGGAUGUGAAAGCGAAGACGCGACACCCCGCCGUUAAUGGCAGCAACUUGGAACUUCGCCACACUUUGCAGGUAAAAAAAUGGAGUACUGAUCGAGCCUUUCCUCUUGAGUUCUUUGUUUAAUAUAACUACGAUUUAUGCAGGAUUUUGUGCGUAUUUUAAAACAUAUACUACUAUGAUUUUGUGCAAGAUUAUCACGAAUUUAUGCAUAAAUUCUGUUUCAAGUUGCACAUUUUUCCAAGGGAGUUUGGCUUUCUUUGUUUAGCAUUAGAGAAAAUCGGCGAAAGACUUUCGUGCCGUUCUGAUGCUUUUUUUAGCAGCCAAGUUGCACAUGAUGAUUUUGUGGCGUGAUUAGGUGCUCCUCUAGGCAAAAAUAUACUAGUAUCAUCAACUAAUUAAAGAUCAAUGUCUCUGAAAUCGCCAACACUGAUAAUUUCAUACUCCACUAAAAUGCAUUACUAGUGCCUUUCUCAGUUCAGCAACACUGGAAUCCAACCGUGCAUCUGAAGGAUGAAGACCACUACUAAUUUGCAUAAUACUGCCACUACUAAUUCUUAAGGGAAAAAAAAUCCGUGGUGAAAGCGACAGGGGAGGCUGGAUGCAUUGCACCUGCUGGGCUGGAUGCAUGGACAUGUGAGGCAGACGUUUGGAGUCAGACUUGACCACAGAGAGAGAUGCUUUGCUGUAGGAUGUACGGCAUGCUGAUGUGUGAUGGGUUGCACCUGCCCAUCACCGGCCUUUCCCAUGCUCUCUUUUGUGUUUGUGCAGACGUAGCAUCUUCAGCCGUGGCCCCAGGAGAUGCUAAAAAUCGCUGCCUGGGGGGCGUACUCGCACUAACCACAUGCUAGGAGCGUGAUGCUUUUCAGUCUUCAUGCUUACGUUUUUUUUAAAAACAAAAUUCAGCCCCACAUUCGCCCAAACAAGACGUAAAUUCAAUCAAACUUCAGCGAGUUCAUAACAUAUAUAUAAUAUUUUACAAAAGAAAAAAAAACAC
This 8795-nucleotide long non-coding RNA is filed under the name Triticum aestivum (bread wheat). Its description in RNAcentral is "long non-coding RNA (TAES_LNC012448)". Lineage: Eukaryota; Viridiplantae; Streptophyta; Magnoliopsida; Poales; Poaceae. The record is from RNAcentral.